CACGUAGGGUGCGAGCGUUGUCCGGAAUUAUUGGGCGUAAAGAGCUCGUAGGCGGUGUGUCGCGUCGGCCGUGAAAACCUGCAGCUUAACUGUGGGCUUGCGGUCGAUACGGGCAUCACUGGAGUUCGGCAGGGGAGACAGGAAUUCCUGGUGUAGCGGUGAAAUGCGCAGAUAUCAGGAGGAACACCGGUGGCGAAGGCGGGUCUCUGGGCCGAUACUGACGCUGAGGAGCGAAAGCGUGGGGAGCGAACAGG
This 254-nucleotide ribosomal RNA is filed under the name uncultured bacterium. RNAcentral describes it as "partial 16S ribosomal RNA". It matches the Rfam family "Bacterial small subunit ribosomal RNA", at positions 524 to 776 of the family's 1533-position model. The record is from RNAcentral.